GUGUUAUCUAGGAAAAGUGCAGGCCUCCGGUUUCUUUACUCAUCUCAAGGUGGUCUCUGAGAGGCCCUGCCUGGAAGAAGAGCAGGUUACAGCAAGAUGGGGAAUGGAGCAGUGUGCAGCUGCCACCAGCCAGGCGGAGACUUUAGGAUUCACUUCUGGACAGGGACAGGGAAGACAUUUUCCUUUCAAUGCCUCGAGGCCCUUCAGCAACUGUAGGAGCGGGCGUGGUGUUGUCGCUACUGUCAGAUCCUGGACCGGGCAGCCGACUUUUUCUUGACUUGGACAUCAGCAGUGGAAGCAAGGGAAGUUUCAAGACACACAGUAAAGUUUGCUUCAGUC
RNAcentral lists this long non-coding RNA (339 nucleotides) under Mus caroli (Ryukyu mouse). Its description in RNAcentral is "lncRNA (MGP_CAROLIEiJ_G0004963.1)". The record is from RNAcentral. Lineage: Eukaryota; Metazoa; Chordata; Mammalia; Rodentia; Muridae.